UACGGAGGAUCCGAGCGUUAUCCGGAUUUAUUGGGUUUAAAGGGUUCGUAGGUGGAUUGGUAAGUCAGUGGUGAAAGUUUGCAGCUUAACUGUAAAAUUAGCCGUUGAAACUGCCGGUCUUGAGUGCAAAUGAGGUAGGCGGAAUGCGUCGUGUAGCGGUGAAAUGCUUAGAUAUGACGCAGAACUCCGAUUGCGAAGGCAGCUUACUGGGAUGCAACUGACGCUGAGGCACGAAAGCGUGGGUAUCAAACAGGAUUAGAUACCCU
This 266-nucleotide ribosomal RNA is filed under the name uncultured prokaryote. RNAcentral describes it as "partial 16S ribosomal RNA". It matches the Rfam family "Bacterial small subunit ribosomal RNA", at positions 524 to 788 of the family's 1533-position model. The record is from RNAcentral.